GGGGGAUCUUGCGCCAAUGCGCGAAAGCGUGACGCAGCGACGCCGCGUGGGGGAUGAAGGCCCUCGGGUUGUAAACCCCUUUCGGCAGGGACGAAGGGAAACUGACGGUACCUGCAGAAGAAGUCCCGGCUAACUACGUGCCAGCAGCCGCGGUAACACGUAGGGGACGAGCGUUGUCCGGAUUCAUUGGGCGUAAAGCGCGCGUAGGCGGCUCGGAAAGUCGGUCGUGAAAUGCCGGGGCUCAACCCCGGGACUGCGUUCGAUACUUCCGAGCUGGAGGUAGGUAGGGGAGAUCGGAAUUCCUGGUGUAGCGGUGAAAUGCGCAGAUAUCAGGAGGAACACCGGUGGCGAAGGCGGAUCUCUGGGCCUUACCUGACGCUGAGGCGCGAAAGCUAGGGGAGCGAACAGGAUUAGAUACCCUGGUAGUCCUAGCCGUAAACGUUGGGUGCUAGGUGUGGGCGGACAUCGACCCCGUCCGUGCCGAAGCUAACGCAUUAAGCACCCCGCCUGGGGAGUACGGCCGCAAGGCUA
This 531-nucleotide ribosomal RNA is filed under the name uncultured Actinomycetes bacterium. RNAcentral describes it as "bacterial SSU rRNA". It matches the Rfam family "Bacterial small subunit ribosomal RNA", at positions 356 to 896 of the family's 1533-position model. The record is from RNAcentral. Lineage: Bacteria; Bacillati; Actinomycetota; Actinomycetes.